CACACUAUCAUUAACUGAAUCCAUAGGUUAAUGAGGCGAACCGGGGGAACUGAAACAUCUAAGUACCCCGAGGAAAAGAAAUCAACCGAGAUUCCCCCAGUAGCGGCGAGCGAACGGGGAGGAGCCCAGAGCCUGAAUCAGUGUGUGUGUUAGUGGAAGCGUCUGGAAAGGCGCGCGAUACAGGGUGACAGCCCCGUACACAAAAAUGCACAUAUUGUGAGCUCGAUGAGUAGGGCGGGACACGUGGUAUCCUGUCUGAAUAUGGGGGGACCAUCCUCCAAGGCUAAAUACUCCUGACUGACCGAUAGUGAACCAGUACCGUGAGGGAAAGGCGAAAAGAACCCCGGCGAGGGGAGUGAAAAAGAACCUGAAACCGUGUACGUACAAGCAGUGGGAGCCUCUUUAUGGGGUGACUGCGUACCUUUUGUAUAAUGGGUCAGCGACUUAUAUUCUGUAGCAAGGUUAACCGAAUAGGGGAGCCGAAGGGAAACCGAGUCUUAACUGGGCGUUAAGUUGCAGGGUAUAGACCCGAAACCCGGUGAUCUAGCCAUGGGCAGGUUGAAGGUUGGGUAACACUAACUGGAGGACCGAACCGACUAAUGUUGAAAAAUUAGCGGAUGACUUGUGGCUGGGGGUGAAAGGCCAAUCAAACCGGGAGAUAGCUGGUUCUCCCCGAAAGCUAUUUAGGUAGCGCCUCGUGAAUUCAUCUCCGGGGGUAGAGCACUGUUUCGGCAAGGGGGUCAUCCCGACUUACCAACCCGAUGCAAACUGCGAAUACCGGAGAAUGUUAUCACGGGAGACACACGGCGGGUGCUAACGUCCGUCGUGAAGAGGGAAACAACCCAGACCGCCAGCUAAGGUCCCAAAGUCAUGGUUAAGUGGGAAACGAUGUGGGAAGGCCCAGACAGCCAGGAUGUUGGCUUAGAAGCAGCCAUCAUUUAAAGAAAGCGUAAUAGCUCACUGGUCGAGUCGGCCUGCGCGGAAGAUGUAACGGGGCUAAACCAUGCACCGAAGCUGCGGCAGCGACACUAUGUGUUGUUGGGUAGGGGAGCGUUCUGUAAGCCUGUGAAGGUGGCCUGUGAGGGUUGCUGGAGGUAUCAGAAGUGCGAAUGCUGACAUAAGUAACGAUAAAGCGGGUGAAAAGCCCGCUCGCCGGAAGACCAAGGGUUCCUGUCCAACGUUAAUCGGGGCAGGGUGAGUCGACCCCUAAGGCGAGGCCGAAAGGCGUAGUCGAUGGGAAACAGGUUAAUAUUCCUGUACUUGGUGUUACUGCGAAGGGGGGACGGAGAAGGCUAUGUUGGCCGGGCGACGGUUGUCCCGGUUUAAGCGUGUAGGCUGGUUUUCCAGGCAAAUCCGGAAAACCAAGGCUGAGGCGUGAUGACGAGGCACUACGGUGCUGAAGCGACAAAUGCCCUGCUUCCAGGAAAAGCCUCUAAGCAUCAGGUAACAUCAAAUCGUACCCCAAACCGACACAGGUGGUCAGGUAGAGAAUACCAAGGCGCUUGAGAGAACUCGGGUGAAGGAACUAGGCAAAAUGGUGCCGUAACUUCGGGAGAAGGCACGCUGAUAUGUAGGUGAAGCGACUUGCUCGUGGAGCUGAAAUCAGUCGAAGAUACCAGCUGGCUGCAACUGUUUAUUAAAAACACAGCACUGUGCAAACACGAAAGUGGACGUAUACGGUGUGACGCCUGCCCGGUGCCGGAAGGUUAAUUGAUGGGGUUAGCGGCAACGCGAAGCUCUUGAUCGAAGCCCCGGUAAACGGCGGCCGUAACUAUAACGGUCCUAAGGUAGCGAAAUUCCUUGUCGGGUAAGUUCCGACCUGCACGAAUGGCGUAAUGAUGGCCAGGCUGUCUCCACCCGAGACUCAGUGAAAUUGAACUCGCUGUGAAGAUGCAGUGUACCCGCGGCAAGACGGAAAGACCCCGUGAACCUUUACUAUAGCUUGACACUGAACAUUGAGCCUUGAUGUGUAGGAUAGGUGGGAGGCUUUGAAGUGUGGACGCCAGUCUGCAUGGAGCCGACCUUGAAAUACCACCCUUUAAUGUUUGAUGUUCUAACGUUGGCCCGUAAUCCGGGUUGCGGACAGUGUCUGGUGGGUAGUUUGACUGGGGCGGUCUCCUCCUAAAGAGUAACGGAGGAGCACGAAGGUUGGCUAAUCCUGGUCGGACAUCAGGAGGUUAGUGCAAUGGCAUAAGCCAGCUUGACUGCGAGCGUGACGGCGCGAGCAGGUGCGAAAGCAGGUCAUAGUGAUCCGGUGGUUCUGAAUGGAAGGGCCAUCGCUCAACGGAUAAAAGGUACUCCGGGGAUAACAGGCUGAUACCGCCCAAGAGUUCAUAUCGACGGCGGUGUUUGGCACCUCGAUGUCGGCUCAUCACAUCCUGGGGCUGAAGUAGGUCCCAAGGGUAUGGCUGUUCGCCAUUUAAAGUGGUACGCGAGCUGGGUUUAGAACGUCGUGAGACAGUUCGGUCCCUAUCUGCCGUGGGCGCUGGAGAACUGAGGGGGGCUGCUCCUAGUACGAGAGGACCGGAGUGGACGCAUCACUGGUGUUCGGGUUGUCAUGCCAAUGGCACUGCCCGGUAGCUAAAUGCGGAAGAGAUAAGUGCUGAAAGCAUCUAAGCACGAAACUUGCCCCGAGAUGAGUUCUCCCUGACUCCUUGAGAGUCCUGAAGGAACGUUGAAGACGACGACGUUGAUAGGCCGGGUGUGUAAGCGCAGCGAUGCGUUGAGCUAACCGGUACUAAUGAACCGUGAGGCUUAACCUUACAACGCCGAAG
This 2774-nucleotide ribosomal RNA is filed under the name Escherichia coli. RNAcentral's name for it is "bacterial LSU rRNA". It matches the Rfam family "Bacterial large subunit ribosomal RNA". Lineage: Bacteria; Pseudomonadati; Pseudomonadota; Gammaproteobacteria; Enterobacterales; Enterobacteriaceae. The record is from RNAcentral.